UUUGGGUUUUGUGUGUCAAUAGUGCUCUAAUGUAGUACACAAAGCAAUGUAACUUAGUGGUGAGUCUUCAGUCACUUAGAUGUCACAGACUUUAAUCUUUGACAUUUUUGUUUUGUCACUUUCUUUUUUAAAUUUAUUUUAUUUUAUUUUUCAAGACAAGGUUAAUAGCCCCAGCUGCCCUGGACUCAAUUUGUAGAUCAGGCUAGCCUUAAACUCACAGAGAUCCAUCUGCCCCUGCCUCCUGAGUAUUGGAUUAAGUGUUUGUGCCACCAUGCCUGGCUCAUUUCUGAAGACAGAUCCACACUGUUUUGAAGUUAAACUUUAAAUAAAGCAGUCAGGAAAGCUUGAUGACUUAGAAGUAAGCAUUCUAGGAUUAUUGAGUUGUGUAUGGCCUGAGAGCCAUUGCUUCUUGGGUACUCUAGACAUGGGAUGACAGCAGAGACUAUGACUCACAGGAGCUCUCUGCAGUUUCUCUAAGUGCUUAAGAGAAAAUAGAAUAAAUCUUCUGUUUCUACUAAAGGAUUGGUCACUGUCUGUUACAGUCAAACAGGAGGGUAUCAAGACUCUUGGUGUGGUGAUGUUGCACUUGGGGUUGAGGCAGGUGGAUCUUUGAGUUCAAGGAUCUCUGGUUUAUAUGAGGAGUUUGAGGGCAGCCAGAUGUACACAGUGCACUCACACCUUGCUCCCACAUCCACACUUCACCUCCAACAUCCCCCAAAUCUUGACUCGGCACACAUAAAGCCUACUUAGUUUUUCUUCUCUACUUAAUAUUUUAGCAGUUACUUUAUUUCUACCUUUUCCCACCUGCCGGUCAGGGUGCUAGAUAACCUGGCAUUACCAGGCUUAGGACUUGGCAAUGGGGAACAGGCAACAUCCCAGAGUUGUGUUGGUUGUCUUCAGUAGUGUGUCCUCAGUGUCCUGAAGCAGGAGGAGGCUCUGGGAGUCCUACCUGUGGAGGCACACUGCGAACGAAGGUCAUCUUGGAUGCUGUGUGCUAGGUGUGUCUUCCAGGAACCAAUUCGAAACUGCGAGUCCUGAUUUCUGUGUUGAAAUGCCUUCAUACAGUAGAAAGACAUACUUUUUCUUUGUACUGUGGAGCCCAGCAACCAUUCAUAACAUUAUCUGCUCUAAAGUAGGAAAGCUUUGUUCUGUGAAUUAGACAUGAGGUUUGUAAAGCAGACUUAUUUAGUAGAGUUAUUAAUCCAGAGUUCUUGACAAUGUGGCUUUAACUUUCAUACUAUGGAGAAAACACUUUAGGAAAUCGUUUCAGCUUUUUAUUUUUUAAAAAUAACUGGAUAAUAAAAUGUAUCCAGUACUUUGAAUUUUAAUUUUUUUACAUCUCACUGCCCUGCAUUUCUUUAUUUAGAGUUUAAAAGACUAUGAAUCUAUCUUUAAAAAAUGAACUGGGUAUGGUACUGAGGCAGAGGCAGGUGGCUCUCUGAAUUCCAGGCUGACUUUGUAUAUAUAGUGAGUUCCAAGAUAGUCAGGGCAAUGUAAAGGGACCCUGUCUCAAAAACCAAAAGUCAAAACAAAGAAAAAGAAAAAGACAAGAAAACUGAGGUUUUUUUUUUUUUAAAGGAGGAUGGAGAAGAUAGAAUUUACAGCCAAUUGAAAAAUUGUAAUUGCAAUGUAGAGAGACCCUGUCUCAAAAACCAAACGUC
RNAcentral lists this long non-coding RNA (1661 nucleotides) under Mus musculus (house mouse). RNAcentral describes it as "long non-coding RNA chr16:38140770-38142431". Lineage: Eukaryota; Metazoa; Chordata; Mammalia; Rodentia; Muridae. The record is from RNAcentral.